UACGUAGGGUGCGAGCGUUGCCCGGAUUUAUUGGGCGUAAAGGGCGCGUAGGCGGCCACGCACGUCCGUUGUGAAAUCGCCCGGCUCAACUGGGCGGGGUCAGCGGAUACGGUGUGGCUCGAGCAAGCUAGGGGGCAAUGGAAUUCCCGGUGUAGUGGUGGAAUGCGUAGAUAUCGGGAGGAACACCAGUGGCGAAGGCGGUUGCCUGGAGCUUUGCUGACGCUGAGGCGCGAAAGCGUGGGGAGGCGAGUCGGCG
Molecule: ribosomal RNA, 256 nt
Filed under: uncultured bacterium
Lineage: Bacteria
Description: partial 16S ribosomal RNA
Rfam family: Bacterial small subunit ribosomal RNA
Source: RNAcentral